This is a long non-coding RNA of Rosa chinensis, 1766 nucleotides long. RefSeq lists it as uncharacterized. The record is from RefSeq and is a predicted model, not a curated record. The transcript has 3 exons. NCBI's taxonomy places the organism in Eukaryota, Viridiplantae, Streptophyta, Magnoliopsida, Rosales, Rosaceae.
UGAAAAACAAAAAAAAGAUGAUCCAUCCAGAAGGAUCGAGAGGGAGAACCAUCCAGAGGAUCCGAGUGGCGCUACUCCGUCCGGCCACAGCACAGCGGCGGACCCCGGCAUUCUCUCCGCCUCGCCAUCGUCGUCACGCUCGUGGCCUCUGAUUGUCCAUGCAUUGAACGAAGAAGGAGAAUCGAAGACCCGAAGCUCCGAGUCUCCUCCGGCGAGUUUCUACGAAUUCCGGCGACUCCGAUCACGGAUUAAGCUGCAUGUGGUAGGAAAACUCAUCCUCUCGUCAAUAUCUAUUCGUUAGAUCAAUUAUUUUUUCAAUUCGAACGAUUUUGACUGAUUGAUUGGGUUUCUGGGUUACCUUCACCUUCUGCUCCGCCGUGUUCUUCAACGCCGGCAAGUUCUCCGGCCUUUCUGGCUUCGUUUCUUGCUCGGCUGCACUCAUAGGCUAACAAUCGAAAAGCUUUCUGGUAGUUGGCAUCACACUCACCAGUUCAUCUUCGGCAGUGACACUGGGAAGAUCACGCUUGUCCUGGGUACUGAGUUGGGUUGAUUAAAGUUGAUUUCCGAUUUCGAAGGUAUAAUCUCGAACUAGAAUCACGUUUUGUUCUUGUGUUAGUGAUCGGAAGUUAUGGAACUGAUAUUAUGAUUUGCCAACUACUUGGUCUUGGAGAAUUCUCCUUUUUUUUUUUGAUAGACUACUUGGAGAAGUUUGACUGGUUGAGUUGCAACAAAGAAGUACACAAUAAUUGAAGACGAAUGAAGGUACAGCUGAUAGCAGUAGUUUGCAGUUUCAACAGACCCAACACCGGUAAUAAACGAAUCCUGACCUACAACAGAAAGAGGCAGAGAGAUAAACACAGAAAACAACCGAGACGAAGAGAAGGGUGUUGCAUUUUCUGACCAAGAACCGCACUAUGUGGAUUCAAAGAACUUUCAUGAGCUGAACUUGGAAGAGAUUCCGAGAAUAAAAGAAGAAGAACGAGUGUGAGAGAAAGCGCAUAUUUCAUCCAAGUCAUGUCUGCUCUAAGCAAAACGUAGUUUACUAAAUGAAUAUGGAACACCAACUGGCUGAAUGGAUUCUUUUAUGGAUUAGAGGAUUACCUAUAUAUAUAAGGUAGUAACUCCAUUAUGGACCGCGGUUCCGGUCAACACGCUUGAAUACCUUGACCACUACAACGUACAGCAUGCUUAGGCUAGCUAGGGGACAAGAGGAAAGAAAUUUCAAUGAGACCAAAAAUGAAAUUGUCAUUGAAAUUUUUGAUUGUAUCAAAGAGCAAGAGCCCUCCUAAACACAACACCAGAGUUUACUGUUAGUAUGAGCUGUAGGAGAGGGACGAUAAUUUUUGGUUUCGAAAGAUAGGAAUUCGAACUUGAGUCCUCAUCUAACGAGAUGGAAAAAUCACUUGAAGACUCCAACCUAAAUGAGAGACACCACCACUCACUACUAGAAAUUUCCCCAAUAGCACUUGCGCUACUGUGUUUUUGGUCACCAUAAAUCAUUAGUGGGUGUUUGGAAUACUAUCACACCAUUGCAAUUUAUCACUAGGAGAUUUUGUUGUCUCACCGUUAAGGCGUUAACAGUGGCUACUAAACACAAACACAGUACAUACCUCUUUUGUAUAUAUAUUUAAUUCAAUUAAUUCCUGAAACCCACUGAAACAGUGUGUGUGGAAUAUGAAGAUAAAGUAAACUCAUGGGUCCCCAUUUGAUAUAGUAUUAAUAUCAUAAUAAAAUUAGUGUUUAAGUAAAUCUAGAAUAUGUGUCUG